GGCGGUGUAGCUCAGUCGGCAAGAGCACACGGCUCAUACCCGUGGCGUCUAGGGUUCGAAUCCCUACACCGCCA
Molecule: transfer RNA, 74 nt
Filed under: Candidatus Poribacteria bacterium
Lineage: Bacteria; Candidatus Poribacteria
Also listed under: 1 other name
Description: tRNA-Met
Rfam family: tRNA
About the family: Transfer RNA (tRNA) molecules are approximately 80 nucleotides in length.
Source: RNAcentral